Molecule: RNase P RNA, 416 nt
Filed under: Klebsiella pneumoniae
Lineage: Bacteria; Pseudomonadati; Pseudomonadota; Gammaproteobacteria; Enterobacterales; Enterobacteriaceae
Description: RNase P RNA component class A
Rfam family: Bacterial RNase P class A
About the family: Ribonuclease P (RNase P) is a ubiquitous endoribonuclease, found in archaea, bacteria and eukarya as well as chloroplasts and mitochondria. Its best characterised activity is the generation of mature 5'-ends of tRNAs by cleaving the 5'-leader elements of precursor-tRNAs. Cellular RNase Ps are ribonucleoproteins.
Source: RNAcentral
GAAGCUGACCAGACAGUCGCCGCUUCGUCGUCGUCCUCCUUCGGGGGGAGACGGGCGGAGGGGAGGAAAGUCCGGGCUCCAUAGGGCAAGGUGCCAGGUAACGCCUGGGGGGUGUCACAGCCCACGACCAGUGCAACAGAGAGCAAACCGCCGAUGGCCCGCGCAAGCGGGAUCAGGUAAGGGUGAAAGGGUGCGGUAAGAGCGCACCGCGCGGCUGGUAACAGUCCGCGGCACGGUAAACUCCACCCGGAGCAAGGCCAAAUAGGGGUUCAUAAGGUACGGCCCGUACUGAACCCGGGUAGGCUGCUUGAGCCAGUGAGCGAUUGCUGGCCUAGAUAUUCGAAUAGCGGAGAAAGGAUGAAUGACUGUCCACGACGCUAUACCAAAAGAACGCGGCUUAUCGGUCAGUUUCACCU